This 395-nucleotide ribosomal RNA is filed under the name uncultured bacterium. Its description in RNAcentral is "bacterial SSU rRNA". It matches the Rfam family "Bacterial small subunit ribosomal RNA", at positions 975 to 1375 of the family's 1533-position model. The record is from RNAcentral.
CAGGUCUUGACAUCCCUUGCAAAGCUAUAGAGAUAUAGUAGAGGUUAUCAAGGAGACAGGUGGUGCAUGGUUGUCGUCAGCUCGUGUCGUGAGAUGUUGGGUUAAGUCCCGCAACGAGCGCAACCCUUAUUGCUAGUUACCAUCAUUAAGUUGGGGACUCUAGCGAGACUGCCAGUGAUAAACUGGAGGAAGGUGGGGAUGACGUCAAAUCAUCAUGCCCCUUAUGACCUGGGCUACAAACGUGAUACAAUGGCUGAAACAAAGGGCAGCGAAGCAGUGAUGUGGAGCGAAACCCAAAAAAGCAGUCUCAGUUCGGAUUGAAGUCUGCAACUCGACUUCAUGAAGUCGGAAUCGCUAGUAAUCGCGGAUCAGAACGCCGCGGUGAAUACGUUCUC